UAUCCGUUGGUGAACCAGCGGAGGGAUCAUUACAGGACUCGCAAGACUCCUACAACCCUGUGAACUUAACUAUAAGCACGUUGCUUCGGCGGGUGUCUCGGAGGGGGUUCUCCCUCCCCGAGACGCUAAACCCGCCGGCAGCCUACUAUACUCUGUCUCUUUGCGUUGGCAUCUCGAGUACAAUCAAACAAGUUAAAACUUUCAACAACGGAUCUCUUGGUUCUG
This 225-nucleotide unclassified non-coding RNA is filed under the name plant metagenome. Its description in RNAcentral is "partial contains small subunit ribosomal RNA, internal transcribed spacer 1, and 5.8S ribosomal RNA". The record is from RNAcentral.